RNAcentral lists this long non-coding RNA (1020 nucleotides) under Capra hircus (goat). RNAcentral describes it as "lncRNA (ENSCHIG00010007958.1)". The record is from RNAcentral. Lineage: Eukaryota; Metazoa; Chordata; Mammalia; Artiodactyla; Bovidae.
GUGGGAGAAGCUUGGUUCCCUCUCCACCUGAGAGAGAAGUGUAGUUAGAAGGGGAUUCUUGAGAAUGUUAGUCGAGUUUUUGAUCCUUCAGGCUUUUGAAUAUAGGAGAAAGACCUGGAUCAAGGGGAACCUUAGAAUUCUUUCCUAGAGGUCAUGUGGAUAUGAAAGGUCAAGUAGGGGUCAUCUAGGAAGUCUGAGAGAGACGGGAGAGGGGGGUGGUGGGGACGACAGGAGAUAGGGAAGCAACAAAAAGACACAUGCGGCAGGGGUCCCUCAAUCUGAAUUCUGAGAGCCAUGAAGAACUGAAUGUAAAGAAAUGCUGAGUCUCUUCCCUGCUUUUGGCAAAAGCUAGUGUGCCAUUCAGAGGCCUUCUUUUUUUAGGGGUGUCCCCCAGUUUGUAUUGGGGCCAGGCCUUCUGCAGAGUCAAAAUUUUUUCCAGUUUCUGAGAAUGUAUCCAAGGGGUGAGUCUGAGAGAGGCUCCUGAGACGUACCAAAACCCAUCCUUAGCCUAUAUGCCAUAGGAUGGGGUUACUGAGAGUCACUGACUGGCAAAAAGGUGUCCCUUUUUGUCUCAGUGACGUCUCCGUGCAACUAACGGCAUAAAAAUGGCCAACCAUCCCAACAGUCACAUCCAACAGUGAGAGGUGACCUCUGAGAACCGUGCAGUUAAGGCACCAUGUGACCCGGGCAGAGAAAGACAGAGAUUCCUGGGAGCAACCAGGUGAUUCACUAUUUGGGGAUUCCCUGAAAUGUGGAAGGCACUCUUGGGAUGGCUCAGAGGCAACACCCAGGCUCCUGUAAAUCAAUCUGGACAAAAAGAGAAAGAAGUGAAAGUGACAGGGAAGAAGGCUGAGGAAUCCACCUUACAAUAUAUCCGGGAGGCGGUGGCCUGGGAACAACGGUCUCUGUUUUGCUUCAACCACUAUGUGCCUAACAUGGUGGACAGAAGUUGUCUUGCUGCGGGCUGAUGUCCUUGUGUCCUGAUUCAUUCUGUAUGCCCCCUAUCCUCACAUGGGAGUC